GUCUACGGCCAUGCCACCCUGAACAAGCCCAAUCCCAUCUGAUUUCGGAAGCUAAGCAGGGUCGGGCCUGGUUAAUAUUUAGAUGGGAGACCACCUAGGAACAUCAGGUGCUACAGGCG
This 119-nucleotide ribosomal RNA is filed under the name Pteropus alecto (black flying fox). The record is from RNAcentral. Lineage: Eukaryota; Metazoa; Chordata; Mammalia; Chiroptera; Pteropodidae.